GACGAACGCUGGCGGCGUGCUUAACACAUGCAAGUCGAACGGAAAGGCCCUUCGGGGUACUCGAGUGGCGAACGGGUGAGUAACACGUGGGUGAUCUGCCCUGCACUUUGGGAUAAGCCUGGGAAACUGGGUCUAAUACCGAAUAUGAUCAUCGGCUUCAUGUUCGGUGGUGGAAAGCUUUUGCGGUGUGGGAUGGGCCCGCGGCCUAUCAGCUUGUUGGUGGGGUAAUGGCCUACCAAGGCGACGACGGGUAGCCGGCCUGAGAGGGUGACCGGCCACACUGGGACUGAGAUACGGCCCAGACUCCUACGGGAGGCAGCAGUGGGGAAUAUUGCACAAUGGGCGCAAGCCUGAUGCAGCGACGCCGCGUGAGGGAUGACGGCCUUCGGGUUGUAAACCUCUUUCAGCACAGACGAAGCGCAAGUGACGGUAUGUGCAGAAGAAGGACCGGCCAACUACGUG
RNAcentral lists this ribosomal RNA (462 nucleotides) under uncultured bacterium. Its description in RNAcentral is "partial 16S ribosomal RNA". It matches the Rfam family "Bacterial small subunit ribosomal RNA", at positions 28 to 507 of the family's 1533-position model. The record is from RNAcentral.